This 270-nucleotide long non-coding RNA is filed under the name Hordeum vulgare. RNAcentral's name for it is "long non-coding RNA (HVUL_LNC009257)". The record is from RNAcentral. Lineage: Eukaryota; Viridiplantae; Streptophyta; Magnoliopsida; Poales; Poaceae.
UUUUUUCAUUUUUUUCAUUCAUUUUUUGGUGGUCCCUUUGGCCUCUUUUAUUUGGUUUUUAUUUUAAGUUCGGAGUCUCAUCCCAACUUGUGAGGGAAUCAUAGCUACCGUCCUUUCCUCACAUGGGACAAUGCUCUAAUAAUGAUGAAGUGAUGAUCAUCACACUUUUAUUUACUUACAACUCUAUACUUAGAACAAAGAUAUGACUCUAUAUGAAUGCCUCCGGCAGUGUACCGGGAUGUGCAAUGACUCAUGAGUGACAUGCAUGAA